GUGUCAGCAGCCGCGGUAAUACGUAGGGGGCGAGCGUUGCUCGGAAUUACUGGGCGUAAAGGGUGUGCAGGCGGCCGGUUAAGUCAAAGAUGAAAUCCCGAGGCUUAACUUCGGAAUGGUCUUUGAUACUGAUCGGCUUGAGGCUGGUUGAGGAGAGCGGAAUUCCCGGUGGAGCGGUGAAAUGCGUAGAUAUCGGGAGGAACACCAGAGGCGAAGGCGGCUCUCUACACUAGUCCUGACGCUGAGACACGAAAGCUAGGGGAGCAAACGGGAUUAGAUACCCCGGUAGUCCUAGCCGUAAACGAUGGACACUAGAUGUUCCCGCGUUCAUGCGGGAGUGUCGUAGCUAACGCGUUAAGUGUCCCGCCUGGGGAGUACGGUCGCAAGAUUGAAACUCAAAUGAAUUGACGGGG
RNAcentral lists this ribosomal RNA (413 nucleotides) under uncultured prokaryote. Its description in RNAcentral is "bacterial SSU rRNA". It matches the Rfam family "Bacterial small subunit ribosomal RNA", at positions 505 to 918 of the family's 1533-position model. The record is from RNAcentral.